Callithrix jacchus (white-tufted-ear marmoset) is the source of this 101-nucleotide small nuclear RNA. The record is from Ensembl. Lineage: Eukaryota; Metazoa; Chordata; Mammalia; Primates; Cebidae.
UGGCUUCCAGAGCACAUAUACUAAAACUGGAACUAUAGAGAAGAUUAGUUUGGCCCCUGGACAAGGAUUACAUGCAAAUUUGUUUAAAAAAAAAAAGAAAA